RNAcentral lists this ribosomal RNA (259 nucleotides) under uncultured fungus. Its description in RNAcentral is "partial small subunit ribosomal RNA". It matches the Rfam family "Eukaryotic small subunit ribosomal RNA", at positions 1309 to 1591 of the family's 1831-position model. Lineage: Eukaryota; Fungi. The record is from RNAcentral.
GAUUGUCUGCUUAAUUGCGUUAACGAACGAGACCUUAACCUGCUAAAUAGUUAUGCCAACUUUGUUGGUAGUCAACUUCUUAGAGGGACUGUCGGCGAUUAGCCGACGGAAGUUUAGGCAAUAACAGGUCUGUUAUGCCCUUAGAUGUCCUGGGCCGCACGCGCGCUACACUGAUGAAGUCAACGAGUUUAUAACCCUGGCCGGAAGGUCUGGGUAAUCUUUUGAAACUUCAUCGUGCUGGGGAUAGGGCAUUGCAAUG